CGGCCUCGACCUGCCCCGGGGAGAUGAAAUGGAUGUGGGUAUCCACUGCACCCGCGGUGACAAUCUUUCCCUCACCAGCGAUAACCUCGGUGCCCACGCCGAUAGUGAUGUCGAUGUCGUCCUGAAUAUCCGGGUUUCCUGCAGCACCGAUCUUGAGAAUGCGGCCGUCCUUGAUCGCAAUGUCAGCGACGUAAAUACCGGUGUAGUCAAUGAUUAGCGGACCGGUGAUGACCACGUCCGGUAUCUGCUGGUUACCGGUCACACGGCUGUUCUGGCCCAUGCCGUCGCGG
This 290-nucleotide small RNA is filed under the name Corynebacterium appendicis CIP 107643. Its description in RNAcentral is "5' ureB small RNA". It matches the Rfam family "5' ureB small RNA". The record is from Rfam by way of RNAcentral. Lineage: Bacteria; Bacillati; Actinomycetota; Actinomycetes; Mycobacteriales; Corynebacteriaceae.